GCCUGGCUGGCUCAGUUGGUGGAGCGUGAGACUCUUGAUCUCAGAGUGGUGAGUUUGAGCCCUACAUUGGGUA
This 73-nucleotide transfer RNA is filed under the name Mustela putorius furo (domestic ferret). It matches the Rfam family "tRNA". Rfam says of the family: Transfer RNA (tRNA) molecules are approximately 80 nucleotides in length. Their secondary structure includes four short double-helical elements and three loops (D, anti-codon, and T loops). Lineage: Eukaryota; Metazoa; Chordata; Mammalia; Carnivora; Mustelidae. The record is from Rfam by way of RNAcentral.